UAUUUCCAGGAUUUUUUCCUUUCCUACUUGGCCAAGUCACCAGGGACUGGGGCAGCUGCCUACUCCGUGAAGCUCCUCAGCUCUUUGAAAAUCAAGACCCGAUUCUCUGGGACAUAAGCAGGGUCCCUACUAAGCUAAUAUUUUCAGAAUGCAGAGACCAAGAGCCUGUCAGCCCCUACCUGAAACCUCUCUCCCAGAGCAAGGAUUGAGGAAACUGGAGGGGAGAAGGUGGGGAGGAGCCAGAGACUCAGUCCAGCACAGGAGAGAAACUGAGGCACAAGAGAAAAAAUGAGCCUCUGCCCCUCCCUCUCUUUGUUAUUGCUAAAGAGAACGGAGGAAGCUUUUUUUUGUUUCUUUCCUCUGGAUUUCUCUGCUUUCCUUUUCGGAUUCCCAGAGUAAAGGAACCUCUCAAAACCUCAGACCAAGGAUGCGCAUCGUCGCGCUUUCCUUCCAGACCCAGACGCCUGCUUCUGAGGGAGGUGGACGCGGAGAAAGACGCAAGCAAGUUCCCCCAAGCGGGGUCCGGAGCCUCCGUGCGGGAGGCUGUGCCCCUUGACACAAGGCACCGUCCGAUUUCAUUUCAAUAAUGCUGGCAAUUUUCUUCCCACUGGGUUGACUGGAGGCCUCGCUGCCCUAUGUGUGGGUCCCUGUGCUCGACUUUUUGCUCAAAGGGAUCCGAACAAAUAAAACAUCCAACAAGUCAUAA
Molecule: long non-coding RNA, 706 nt
Organism: Mustela lutreola (European mink)
Lineage: Eukaryota; Metazoa; Chordata; Mammalia; Carnivora; Mustelidae
Exons: 3
Source: RefSeq, a predicted model, not a curated record